GACGAACGCUGGCGGCGUGCCUAACACAUGCAAGUCAUGGGAGAAAGGGGUAGCAAUAUCCCGAGUACACCGGCGCAAGGGUGCGUAACGCGUAGGCAACCUGCCCUAAGGACGGGAAUAACUUCGAGAAAUCGAGGCUAAAACCCGAUAAUGCAGCGGCACCGCAUGGUGACAGUUGUUAAAACCCCGACGCAAGUCGGGAGCCUUUGGAUGGGCCUGCGUCCCGUUAGGUAGUUGGUGAGGUAACGGCUCACCAAGCCUACGAUGGGUAGCUGGUCUGAGAGGACGAUCAGCCACACUGGAACUGAGACACGGUCCAGACUCCUACGGGAGGCAGCAGUGAGGAAUAUUGCGCAAUGCCCGAAAGGGUGACGCAGCGACGCCGCGUGAAGGAUGAAGGCCCUCUGGGUCGUAAACUUCUUUUGUGAGGGAAUAAUAUCCCGCUAUACGCAGGAUUGAAUGUACCUCAGGAAAAAGCAUCGGCUAACUACGUGCCAGC
Molecule: ribosomal RNA, 499 nt
Filed under: uncultured bacterium
Lineage: Bacteria
Description: bacterial SSU rRNA
Rfam family: Bacterial small subunit ribosomal RNA
Source: RNAcentral